RNAcentral lists this ribosomal RNA (440 nucleotides) under uncultured bacterium. RNAcentral describes it as "partial 16S ribosomal RNA". It matches the Rfam family "Bacterial small subunit ribosomal RNA", at positions 338 to 795 of the family's 1533-position model. The record is from RNAcentral.
CCUACGGGCGACAGCAGUGGGGAAUAUUGGACAAUGGGGGAAACCCUGAUCCAGCGACGCCGCGUGAGUGAAGAAGUAUUUCGGUACGUAAAGCUCUAUCAGCAGGAAAGAAAAUGACGGUACCUGACUAAGAAGCCCCGGCUAACUACGUGCCAGCAGCCGCGGUAAUACGUAGGGGGCAAGCGUUAUCCGGCUUUACUGGGUGUAAAGGGAGCGUAGACGGCAGCGCAAGUCUGGAGUGAAAUGCCGGGGGCCAACCCCGGAACUGCUCUGGAAACUGUGAAGCUGGAGUGCAGGAGAGGUAAGCGGAAUUCCUGGUGUAGCGGUGAAAUGCGUAGAUAUCAGGAGGAACACCGGCGGCGAAGGCGGCUUACUGGACUGUAACUGACGUUGAGGCUCGAAGGCGUGGGGAGCAAACAGGAUUAGAUACCCGGGUAGUC